CCUACGGGGUGCACCAGUGGGGAAUAAUGCACAAUGGGCGCAAGCCUGAUGCAGCCAUGCCGCGUGUGUGAAGAAGGCCUUCGGGUUGUAAAGCACUUUCGGCGGGGAGGAAGGCGAUAAGGUUAAUAACCUUGUCGAUUGACGUUACCCGCAGAAGAAGCACCGGCUAACUCCGUGCCAGCAGCCGCGGUAAUACGGAGGGUGCAAGCGUUAAUCGGAAUUACUGGGCGUAAAGCGCACGCAGGCGGUCUGUCAAGUCGGAUGUGAAAUCCCCGGGCUCAACCUGGAAACUGCAUUCGAAACUGGCAGGCUUGAGUCUCGUAGAGGGGGGUAGAAUUCCAGGUGUAGCGGUGAAAUGCGUAGAGAUCUGGAGGAAUACCGGUGGCGAAGGCGGCCCCCUGGACGAAGACUGACGCUCAGGUGCGAAAGCGUGGGGAGCAAACAGGAUUAGAUACCCCUGUAGUC
This 465-nucleotide ribosomal RNA is filed under the name uncultured bacterium. RNAcentral's name for it is "bacterial SSU rRNA". It matches the Rfam family "Bacterial small subunit ribosomal RNA", at positions 338 to 795 of the family's 1533-position model. The record is from RNAcentral.